This is a small nuclear RNA of Polypterus senegalus (gray bichir), 158 nucleotides long. RefSeq annotates it as U1 spliceosomal RNA. The record is from RefSeq and is a predicted model, not a curated record. NCBI's taxonomy places the organism in Eukaryota, Metazoa, Chordata, Cladistia, Polypteriformes, Polypteridae. The transcript has a single exon.
ACAACUCCCCCACCUGGGGGAGAUACCAGGAUCACUAAGGUGGUUUCUCUCCCAAGGGGAGAACUCAUCCAUUGCACUCGGGUGUCUGACCCCCCGCGAUUUCCCCUCGGGAAACUGGAGGGUGUAAGUGGUGGGGACUGGGUUGGGUCUCCCCCGAU